RNA transcript from Centruroides sculpturatus (bark scorpion), 793 nucleotides. It is a transcript of the gene named SPARC-related modular calcium-binding protein 1-like, with no coding region annotated. Lineage: Eukaryota; Metazoa; Arthropoda; Arachnida; Scorpiones; Buthidae. The record is from RefSeq and is a predicted model, not a curated record. The transcript has 6 exons.
GUCGGUAAGAAAAGAUGAAUUUUAAAUUUCUCGCGGCCUUUUGUUGUCUGGUGUCGGCCGGGGCCAGCUACCGGGCCAGGGCGACGGACGUCUGGCCGGUGGGAGAAUAUCUGGACGACGACGUAAAGGUGAUAACCAGUGACCGGCCCAACAAUCUGGAAAUCAAAGAUAAAGACGGAGGAGCUUUAAAAAAAAUUACGGUCACGGGAUAUUUGCUAAGCGAUAUGCAAUUCGACGAUAUGGACAUAUUAGUUAUCGCCGUUCAUUCUCCCAAAGGUUUACAAGUAGCUAACGCUCCGGCUCCAUCGCGGGUCGUCCCUUGUUUGAUACUGAGAGAAGAAGCUCUGAAAAACCCUUUUCCGCGACUAAUUCCGGAAUGCGACGCCGACGGAGAUUACAACCAACGCCAAUGUCUGUACGGCGAUAAGGAACGGUGUCAAUGUUGGAGCCGGGACGGAAGACCUCUGUCCCAUUCCUUCGCUAACGUAGUGGAUUGCGAAUGCCACAGAGAGAGAGACGACGCUUCCAGACCCGAAUGCAAGUGAAAGGUCGUUGCGCUGGCUGUGUUUUAAAGGGGCGACGAAUAUGGAAGAAAGAUUGGCGUAGAAGACGAAAAUAACAAGUCCGGAGACAAUGAGGAAUACGAAAUAUUUUACAGUAAGGUAUGUCUUGUUUUUAACUUUUGUCAAUUUUUAUUACAAAUGUAUAACGGAUGCGAUGACAGAAGUCGACUCUUCGACGUUUACCGAAUUGUUAAGGUAUAAAAUACUAAAUUUAACAUCUAUUUACAUAG